This 17161-nucleotide long non-coding RNA is filed under the name Sorghum bicolor (sorghum). RNAcentral's name for it is "long non-coding RNA (SBIC_LNC001712)". Lineage: Eukaryota; Viridiplantae; Streptophyta; Magnoliopsida; Poales; Poaceae. The record is from RNAcentral.
CCUGGUGGUGGUGGAAGGUAUGAGGAAGAAGAUGGCUACAAGAAGAAGCCAAGCAGCGGUGGCUAUGGAGGAGGAAAGUACGAGGAUGAAGAUGACUACAGGAAGAAGCCAAGCAGUGGUGGCUAUGGUGGGGGAAGGUACGAGGAUGAAGACGAUUACAAGAAGAAGCCCACAAGUGGUGGCUAUGGUGGGGGGAGAUAUGAGCAAGAAGAUGAUUACAAGAAGAAGCCUACAAGUGGCGGCUAUGGUGGCGGGAGGUAUGAGCAGCAGGAUGAAUAUAAGAGGCCUCCUAGCGGUGGUGGCAGUAGCUAUGGGGGAGGCAGGUAUGAAGAAGAUGAUGAGUAUAGGAAGAAGCCGAGUGGGAGCUAUGGUGGAGGAAGGUAUGAGGACGAAGAUGAUUAUAGGAAGAAACCUAGUGCUGGUCAUGGUGGAGGGAGGUAUGAGGAAGAUGAUGAGUACAAGAAGCCCAGUGGUGGCGGAUAUGGUUAUGGGGCUUCCAGUGGUGGAGGCCAUGGAGGAAGGUACGAAGAAGAGGACUACAAGAAGAAGCCUAGUGGACACUCAGGGGGAUGCUAUGAGGAAGAGGAGGGGUACAAGAAGGCUAGUGGUCAUAGUGGAGGGAAGUAUGGCAAGGAGGAAGAUGACAAGAAGAAGAAGCAUGGUGAGGAUGAGUCAGAGGGUGGCGGUAUUGGUGAUUACCUGAAGUUGGCACAGGGUUUCAUGAAGAAACAGGAUGGGGAAGGGGAGAGUGGGGGCGGCAUGGGAGACUACUUAAAGCUUGCUGAAGGUUUCUUGAAGAAGCGCUGAUUAAUCUUCCAUGUCAUGUUUCAGGAAGGACUUGUUGUGUUUGGUUAGUCCUGUUUAUUGUCACCAAGUAGUGAAAUUUUCAAGGUUUCCAUCAUAGGAUGUAAUACAAGUGCAUUGCUCAUACUGUCUGUGUGUGGUGACAUGAAUGCUUAAUGUGCUGCUUACGCUGCUGGGGUAAUAAAAGCUUUGAUGCUCUGCUAUUCAUGUUGUAUAUUAGUUCUGACUAAAAUAAUAUGUAUCCUAUGUUAUUGUGCUUACAAUAAGUGAAACUUUUGAAUACGUUUUCAUUCAUUAUCUACUGUUGUUACGGUCCUAUUGUUGGAGAUGUGUUGGUUCUUGAUCUUAUCAUACUGAGUACUAAUGCAUGGAUGUACAUCUUUUCCUGAACUUGAUUUUAGUUUUGUUAAACCUGAGACAAUGAAACUAAUCAACCAUGUUUAUUUCAACUUGGUGGUGGUGGUUCUAGGCAUAUACAUCCUUGCAAAAUGGCCUCUGAAUGAAUAGUUUGAACUUAUUAUGGUGCUUGGCUACUAACCAUCGAGGCAUCUUGCUGAACUAACUUCUCCUUUGUUGGGCUAGUUCUUAUCUCUAAGUAGGUCUGCUGGUUAUGUCACAUAUUGAUAGUUCUUCGUAUCUGUGUACUCUUAAGUGGUAAAUAAUUUGACACAAAUAAUUUAGUAUCUAAAUCAAAUUAAUGUCCUGGAAGUAAACAAUAGGUCAUAUGGACGAGAGGCUAAGAGGAUUGUUGAAUUUGAACCAAAGGUGGUUUUAUGUCAUCGGUUUCAGGCAGUGUCAGAAUUAUCAGUAUCUCGCCGUUCCUGAUUCCAUAGUUGAAAAGACACAAGUGCACAGCUCAAUGGAAUAUUUCUGCAAGGGCACCCUUUUCAGCUGCUUGUUUAUUCAAUCAAACAGUUUAUCUGCUCCUCUUUGUAUGACCUCUCAGGCUCUCAAUACCUUGCACUCAUUUAUUUUAUUUUAUUUUAUUUAAUAAAACCGUAGGACUCUUUAAGUGAUUGAACAACUAUGGCUCUGGACUUUAUGUAUCUUUUCAACCCAGCGGCUUUUAAUCUCCUAUCACUCAUUCAGACUCUUCCAUCUUUCUGAACCAUUCAGACUCUCCUUUUUUCUGAACUAUGAAAUGGUUGUCGGGUGCACUACCCCGAUCAGUUUCACUCAUGAUGAAAAAGUUUUUCUUAUUACUUAUGAUGACAAGGUUCAUGGGAUUGAAACAGCCAAACAACCAAGAUAUUACUUCUAGCAUAUACAGCUCUGCAUCAGUCCAGCAAGUUUAUGAGAAAGAUGAUUGACAUAAUUGUAUGGUUUUUUUGGUAAUUGAUCUGGAAAGCAGUCGCACUUCAAUGUGAAAGGAAGCUCCCCACACAGCCGUUCUUGAAGCAAGGUCAACAUGCUGGCAGCCCAGGUGAAAAAACGCUCAGAUUAUUUCCUCAAUCGAUGGGGUACGGGUUUGAUUCUUAUAUAUAUCUGCAAAUACUGUAUUUGUAUUAACUCAGCUAAAGUGGUUGCUUGGUUAUGUAUCUUCUUUGGUUAAUAAAAUUGAUGUGGCGGAUGGAAUUCAGUACUGAGUAUUACAAUGUAACUUCCAGAAGAUAUUCUUCUUCUCUAAUGUAAGCGCUGUAGAUGAUGAUCUUCUGAUGUAAUCUGUUUGUUUGAAGAUGAUCUUCCACUGUUUUCUCUUUACUAGGAGGUCUGCCAGAAGUUCAUUAAUGUCGUCUGUUGGGAUGCAAGUGCUGUUUUUGUUAGACCAUUGAACUAGUACAAGCAUGCAUGUAGGAUGAGAUGAAUUAGUAAAUUUUGUGCUUAAUGGAAAAAUUAUUGGUCUUAGCUAUAUGUAUUUUGCCCGGUUCUCUUUGGCAGUAAAGGCGCCAUUUUGGUCUACACUAUUCUUUACAAAUAACAUACUGAUGUGCAAAUAUUUCAUUAAAACGAUUUUAUUGAUUAGGGCGGUGCUCCAUCCCGCUUGCACACCACGGUGAAAGGGAGGAAGAGGAAGAGGAAGAGGGGGGAAAGUGGGUGCGGGAGAAGGAAGACGGAACUCAGUCCUCUAGUCAUGAAUCCUAGCUCCGUUUACAAGUAAAGUAACAUACUGCUUGUCACCUCUCAGUUUCGAUAUGCUUUGUGGCACUGACCAAGUAUCCUAAGCCUCCUUUCAAUGCCUCAAGGUCAUCCUCGUCGUCAUUGACCUCUGCGAUGUUGAACCGGCCAUCGCUGCCUCUCAAUUUCGAUGUUGAACCGGUCAUUGAUGGCAGCCAUCUGCUGCGACACCCCGUCCCGCGUCGGCGCCCGGACCAUUUGGAUGGUGGCCGCGGCGAAGACGAGCCACGCCAGCGAGAUGGACGCGUGCUCCAAGUUGUGCAGGUGGACGCUGGGGAUAGUCCCGUCGUCGUCCAACGGCUGGUGCUUCGACUGCACGAUGACGAGCUCCAUCGAGAUGGAUGGAGAUCACCGAACCCAUCAUUAUCGUUAUGAGCUCGAUGUGACGGACGCCCGGCACCGGGAACCACACCGGAGCCACGUAGGAGCUCCGCUGUAGCAGCAAGAACAGGCGGGUGUGGCCGAACAGACAGGGGCGAAGCUACUUACCCUGUGUUUGGUUGGGGGUUGGGUGGGUUGGGUUGAAUCCAACCCAGUUUUUGGGGACGGAACCAACCCAUCCAGUGUUUGGUUGCACUUCUUUUUUUGGAGACGGAGCCAACCUAUUUUAGUGUUUGGUUGAAGAAUUGGAGACAGAGCGGCUCCGUUCAGUGUUUGGUUGAAGGAAUUUAGUGUUUGGUGGGAGCCAACCCGGAUGGAGCGGCUCCGUCCGCCAGAUUUUGACGGACGAGUCCAACCCGCAUCUGAGAGGAAUAUUCCACUCUGGAGCCAACCCAACCCUUCCAUCCUCCAACCAAACAGCCACAAGAACGGGUUCGCUCCGACCCGGCUCGCCCCGCUCUCCAACCAAACACACGGUUAGUAGCUUGUGGGUGUCCAGGCACCCAUAAAAUUUUGAAAAACCACUACUAGAAACACAUUUUUCUCAUGGUUGUGGAUUAAAUUUUUGCACAUAUAAAAGAGAAGCACACCCAUCUAAUUCGUUCUAGCUUCGCCUCUGCGAACAGAUGCCACUGGCUGAUGAUGAUGAAGAAGGCGCCCGGUGCAACGUGCCCGCCAAGCGUGCCCAUGGCCUCCUCUCUGUAGCUUUUGCGUGGAGCAGUGGAGAGAAGAAGAGGAGGCAAGCCAAGUGUUGUCGCUGUGGGCUCGUUGCGUGUGGAGAGCGAGCUAGUGUGUGCGACCUUUGGAACGCGACCGGCCUGAGGUAUGACCUCCACUAGCUUUUUUUUAGGAACAUGACCUCCACUAGAUGGACCCUAUCGUUUUAUACAUUGCCCUCAUGGCCGCUGUGGGCCGCUCACCUGCAAUUUUGCCGCAGCCUGUCACGACGAGAUGUCCGAGGAGCCUCAUUUUUUUUUGAAUUUGACCCCAUUUUUUUAAAAAAAAUUAACAUUUAGACAUCUGGAUAACGUAAACCUAACUUUGAACCUAGAGGAUGGAUGCCAUUACUCAAGGCAUCAAGGUUACAUCUCGAAGCCAUAACUCACGGAGUCCAGCUCCAUGGCCCAACCGCACGUGGCUGCUGACAUGACAAAGAAAAGACGUCGAUGCCAUAGAUCACGGUGUCGAGUUCGACGCCACAUAUCACAGCGUCGAGCCCUUGCUUCUGUAUAGUGCACCCACCGGUCGGCGAGCCAUCGGGCCCCGCCCGUGGGGGCGGUGCCCCUUUCUUGUUGGUCGUCCAAGACGAGGCGACGCCCACUGCCUGCUGCCCCUCUUGAAUCCCCUCGACCGGCAGUGAGCAAUUGCACAGGUAUUUUUUUUUACCAAUUUCAUGCUUUAGUUGUCAAUAGUUUAGAUAGUAUAGGUAGGUUUUUAAGAUUAGUAAUAAUGUAUCUAAGACUAUAAAAUACAUCUAAUAGGUCAAAUCAAUGCGUUGAAAAGGAAGAGGGGAGAGAGUAUAUCUGAAGAUCUAUGGAUCAAAUCAAAGUUUUUAGUUGGGUGGGUUUGGGAGAGGAAGAACCUAGGAGGGAUGAAGAACAAACGAAACAUGUUGGGUUAGGAAAAGAUGGACGUUGAUUUUGAAUCCAGGCUUGACGCCGUGAUUUGUGGCGUCGAGCUCAACGUCGUGAUCUAUGGCAUCGAGCUUUCUGCCAUGUCAGUAGCCACAUGCGGUUGGAGAGCUCGACGUCGUGAGUCAUGGCAUCGAUGCGUGUAACCUUGACGCCACAAGUAAUGGCGUCGACCCCUUGGGUCCAAAGUUGGGUUGUGUUGUCAGGGAGGUCUAAAUGUUAAAUUUCUUUUAAAAAGGGUUAAAUUCAAAAAAAUGGACAAGGUUAAAAAGCAUGGCGCCAGCCUAUUGGAAUAGUGUUCUCUAAUUUUAAUAAUAACUGAGUUUAAGUUAUUUUUGUUGUUAGCUUGUUAAAAUGAAGCAAAAAAAUGUAGUAUUAAGGGAUUCAACCUAGGUGCUUGAGGUAAGAUGUUGACUUCCUAACCAGUUGGACAACAAUAAAGUUGUGUCAAGUAGUCUGGAACAACAGUGCUUGUUCUAACAGUUUGGUGUCAAUAGCAACGGUGUCAAGCUUGACGCCAAUAAUAACGACGUCAUAAUGGAUGCCACAUCAGCUCCACGCAUACAUUAGUGCAACAAUCUUAGAGCAAGUUUAAUAAUAUAGCUCAUUUGCUGGCUGUAAGAUUCUUUGCAGUCUUCUCCCAGCCCAUUCAUACAAUAGUUAAUUAUUCACUAUUGACACAUGGCUCACUUAACUCUCUUACAAAGUUUCUUGGUUCUUGUGUCUAAGCUGGCUGUAAGCUUACAACCUGCUUCUCCUCUCUCUCUUCCUUUCUCUUCUCCACAUCAGCAUUUAGCCCAUUAUAAUAUUUACUCUUAGUGCCAAUAGGGCCGGUAUUAUGCGGUGUAACCUUGGUGCCAAUGGUAAUAGCGCCAAAAAGACAGUAACCUUGGUGUCAACAAUGAUGAUGCUAAGCUAAGGGUCUAUUUUUUAAAAACACAUAUUUAAAAGAAUCUUUGAAAAAAUAGCUAAAAAUAAAAAGACGGCCAACCAACGCUAGUUCGACCACCAAGACCCAUACUUACUUUAAAAAUCUAAAUAAAGCACCAAAUAUUUUGGAGUCAAAUUAACCCAAUUACUUUUCGAGGACCAGCCAUGCCAUACUAGGGCCUUGUUUAGUUCCAAAAAUUUUCAAAGAAUCUUGCGACACAUGCAUGAUGCAUUAAAUAUACAUAAAAACAAAAAUUAAUUACAUAGCCGUAAAUCGCGAGACGAAUAUUUUAAACCUAGUUACUCUAUAAUUGAAUAAUGUUUAUCAAAUAAAAAAAUUUGGAAACUAAACAAGGCCUAGAUACGACGCCUAAAUAUGGUCGAGCAUGACAGCGCUAUCUUCCAAAUAUUCUACGAUGGAUUCUUCUAAUUAAGGCUUUAUUUAGUUAACAAAAAGCAAUUAAUGUCUAAUUAUAGACUAAUUAGACUUAAUAGAUUUGUCUCACAAAAUACAUGCAAACUAUGCAAUUAGUUAUUUUUUUAUCUAUAUUUAAUGAUCCAUGUAUAUAUCCAAAUAUUCGAUGAGAUGGGGUAAAAAGUUUUUGGGUGAAACUAAACAAGGCCUAAAAAAGUUAUGAAUUUUUAGUUGCAUGGCCGAAAACAAACUCGGGCAAUAACUGGAUAGCCAAAACUUAAGCCCAGUGCAUAUAUUAUCUAGAAUUACCUGUUGGAACAAACUAUGCAACCCAGCCACCAACCAACUACAUGCAAUGCGAUACCAUAUAUAUAUCGAAAUAAAACAGGAAGACAUGAAUUCUAGGAGCAACCAAUGCAGAACCAGGACACAUGCUAAAUGUUCACAUUACUGAAACAUCACACAUGUGAAGGUCUCGUCAGAUAACAUGCACGGGUGGUCUUCUGCCAGGCAGAACAGAUCCAUAUGCUUCCAAUAUACAAAUCUACCAAAUCACAGGUCACAGCACAUCAAUCGCCGAUCACAUGAGACCCAAAAAAUGCUAUGAAUGAAUGAUACUACGGAAUACGGAUAAGGCAAACCAAUCGAGCUCAGAACUCCUCAACAGAGACGGCUUCGCGAGGGACCUCAUAAGCAUCCUUCUGCCUCAGCUUCUUCACACCGGCGAUGAAGCAUAUCUUGUCAGACUUGUAGCUCUCGAGGCUCACGCUUGCCACCUUCACCCAUACCACCACCUUGGUCUUCAUGCCUUCAACCCCGGAGAGCUUGCCUCGGGACAGAGUCGCUUUGACACGAGGAGCAUACCGUAUUGUGGAGGAAUCCUUGAAGCUCACCUCGCAGGGUUUGGACAGGUGCACCACCAGCUUCGAGGUUGAUUCGUCGUACUCAUAGCAGAUGAUGUUACGAGGGAAGAGACCUGGAGGGAGGUUGUGCUCACGGAGUAGAUCAGAGAGCGACUUCUUGUGUCCUGGGCAGAAGAAACUGAUGUCAGUGCAUAUUUUUGAAAUAUCAAUUAUACAACUGCGCAAAGGUGCUACGGUAUGAGGUUAACAAAGAGAUAAACGAACAUAAUUCAGAAUCAGAAAGUGUUGAGUUUUGAAGGAAAGUCUAACUUCAUGGAGCAAUUUUGACUUAGAAUUUCAAAAAAUAUAGCAACUGAAAUUUAUGACGCUACAGAGAAUAAAAGAUAUCUACAAUAUUUCAAUUAUUUAUCAUAUAGACCAGCCCAACUUGCUUUGGGACUAAAAUGUUUUUAUUGUUAUUGUUCAAUUGUUCAUCACAGAAAUUGCAAUCAGACAAAUAAGAUAACUGUGAUCCACCAAUAAAUCAGGAGGAAGACAUCAAAGAGUAAUUAGACAUAGUAUCCACUAACAAUUGAAAUGGAUAUAUAUAGAUUAUGAACAUAUUAUUGACAAGACCUGUAUUUGGCAAAAGGAAAAGUACACGAAAAAAGUGAGGAACCCAGUUUGCAAAGCAGUUUAUUCAGAACAAAGGUAUCCUGUACUGAAAGCUUUGACAGGAGUUAAGCUGACCAGCUACAUUAUCAAUUGCUUUUGUCCUUCUGGCCACAACAAAUUAGAUGCUGCUUAGAAGCAAGUGUGCUAUGACAAACAAUGGGCAUUGCAGUACAGGCUGGCAAAUCAAGCAGCUAGUUGGUGCUUCCUACUACCAGGACAUACACUGCACAGUCUUGCUAAUACCGCCGAAGACAUGAGGAGGACCAACGCCAAGAUUGCACGUAAAACAAGCUGUUAGGUGAGCAAGUCCCCAAUCCAUUGCUCCUCUAUGGACUUCUGAAUAAUGGCAUCAACGAAAAACUGGGACUUUAUCUUAAAAAAAAACAUGGGCCAGAUGCCAACCAAUGCAGAGCAGCAGGAUGUCACAAAAGUCAUUUCAGUUUGGCCCCCAUGUGCACUACUUUGCAGAUCAAAAGGGUACAGGAAAUCCAAGAAAAGCUAGAUCCAAUCAGAGGAAAGGCUAGGAAUCAGGCAGCCAGUACAUAUAAUCAUAUUAAAUAAAGCUCUCUUUCCCGCAUUGCUUUGGUUUUACGCAUGAGGCAAAGAAAAGCUAACCGCAAUGGAUAAUUGCACUGAUGAUGUUGCCAAAACAACCUAACAUGCAACUAGAAGGUUCUAAUUCAUCAUCUACAUCUCUUCAGAGUCACUCUCAUUUUCACAGCCCAUCAUGUACAUCUCUUCAGAGUCACUCUCAUUUUAACAGCCACAAAACCAACCAUGGAAUGGAACAGAACUGUACCUUUGAGCUUCUCGAAAACCCAUUUUGCCUUCUCCUCCACCGUGCUCGAUAAACGCUGCAGGUAAGAUCAAAGGCUGUCAGUUUGGUCAUACUGCUGAACUUAACGGCUUUCAUCUAAAGUUGAAAUUGAUCUACUAUAUCGUCGCCCCAGUUCAAUCAAAGAGGGAUUUUUCCUUUACCACUCUACUAGUACUUGCUAUGAGUAAAACACGAUGGGGGUGAAUUUAGUGCAGCCUCAUCAAGGAGGGAAAAUGUGCAAACGAGAAUAAUCCACUAAAAUAGAUGCUCGAAGAAGUUGAAUCAUCAGAGGUUCAGAGCAGUGACAAGAACCAGAAGGAAAAGAAAGGACUUCACAUUAGCACAACCAUGAGCCAUGCAAUGCAACAGGUAGUAUUUCUAAUCUCAUCAACUUCCCCAGGACGGCAGGACCGGAUAAAAUAAAGAUUGAAAGCAGCGGAUCCAACGCAAUGCCCGUGACCGGGAGGCUGGAGCAACCGCUUGCGCCGAAAGGCGAGACGGAAAAGGAGAGAUGGCGGCGACGGUGAGCACUCACGGAGAUGUCGCCGCCGAUGGCGGAGAGCUCCUGCUUGGCCUUGCGGGAGAUGGUGAAGCUGCCGAGCUUGGUGAGCGCCUUCUCCAUCCUCCCUCCGGACGCGCGGCCGCUCCGCUAAACUUGCUGGUUCUCUCUUCUCUGCGCCGCUCGGCCGCUCUUCUGGUGGUGGUGGGGUGCCGCAAGAUGGGCGACAGAAGAACCAGGUUCAAAGAUGCGGCGCUCGGCCCGGCGGACCCCGAUAAAUAGGCAACGGCACGCGGAUCGAGAGGGUCGUGGGCCUGCGGCGCCGGAUCCUUUGCGACAGUGAGGCCUGCUUCCAUAUUUGCUGCCGUAAACCUGGUCCUUUUUUUCUCUCUCACUUUUUUCUUUAUUUUUUGGGGGCUGACUGGAUAAUGAUGCCAGUUUCCAUUUGACAGCAACAGCAAGCGUGCGAUUUGUUGUCGUUGCCAUAAUUCAAGCAGGUUUCCGUCUAUGCGAAAUUCUCAGAAAGAAUCAUCCACAUCUAUGAUCUAUCUACUACUCGCUCAAAUUCGAGAGCGUUCGUUAUUCAAAAGUCGAAUUUGACAAAAGUAUAAGGCCUUGUUUAGUUCACCCUGGAAACCAAAAAGUUUUCAAGAUUUCCCGUCACAUCGAAUCUUGUGGCACAUGCAUGAAACAUUAAAUAUAGACGAAAAUAAAAACUAAUUACACAGUUUAGCUGGAAAUCACGAGACGAAUCUUUUGAUCCUAAUUAGUCUAUAAUUGGAUAAUAUUUGUCACAAACAAACGAAAGUGCUACAGUUCCGAAAAGUUUUCACUUUUCGGAACUAAACAAGGCCUAAGUAUUGGUGCGGUGGAUGCGUGGACAGUUUUUUCUUUCACCGGCCACCGUGAGAGCCGGAGGGUGGACGUUGUUGGUGCAAUGCGGCAGGAGCGGGGCCGUUGGUGCCAGCGCUCGUGCCUGCGUGACCGAGUUCUUGUCACGGGAGGACGAGCGAGGACGCACCGCGCGGCGCGGAGCCGAUCGUUCCUCUGAAGCGGCCGCGGGAACGGAAUCCAUCAAGCUGGAGCAGCACACGGAGUAUACCAAACAUAAAAAAAAAAAAAAAACUUAUGCAAAUGUGAUAGGCCAGCCAGCAGCCUGCAGCCUACAUCCUCUAGCUUACUUUUCAGCACAUCGGUUUCGAGCCAGGCAUUCUUCCUUGUCCGGUGUAAUGCACGGCUCACGGCUGUCCUACAAAAAAAAACGUUAUCUACCCGUUUGUAGAUUGUGACUCGUCAACCAGGCCGUGUGGCUCUUCUAGCUUUUUUUUUUUUUUUUUUGAUCGGAGCGUUUGCACAAGCUACUCACAGGACGCACGUCGCACCCUGAGAACCUCGGCGGCUGGGCUUAAGCUACCUUGGGCCGAUCCGCAAGCCCGCGAGCUCUAUCUUACCCAGACGGCCCACUUCUGGACGCCACGCUGGUUGGCCCGCCAGCUCGCCUCCUCGCCCGCACUAUGUGGGCUUGCGGCGUGGGUCUGCGGCUCGUCCCGCGCUGCUUUGCCUGCCGGUUGCAGCCGCAGGGCGCUUCUUCGUUUCUUCCACCCUUCCGCCGCCACCGCCGCCGCCGCACCCGUUCCUGCUCCCUUCGAGUGGAGAUGGCGCUCUACCGUCGUAUCCUGCUCCUCCGCCGCCUCUCCCACCUCCACCCCUCGCCAGCCCCCGCCAUCUGCUCCUCACCCCCACCCACCCUUGCGGGGCUCCUCACCCCGACGGGGCGCCGCCACUUCGCCUUCUCCUCCGCCGAGGAAGCCGCCGCCGAACGCCGCCGCCGCAAGCGCCGCCUCCGCAUCGAGCCUCCAAUCAACGCGCUCCGCCGUUCCCCGCCUCCCCCGCGGGACCCCAACGCGCCCCGCCUCCCGGACACUACGUCCGCGCUCGUCGGCCCGCGCCUCAGCCUCCACAACCGCGUCCAGUCCCUCAUCCGCUCGGGUGAUCUCGACGGCGCCUCCGUCGUCGCCCGCGCCGCCGUCUCCUCCCGCGUCCGGCCCACCGUCUUCACCUGCAACGCCGUGGCCGCGGCCAUGGUCCGCGCCGCCCGCCACGAUGACGCCGUCGCGCUCUUCGAAUUCUUCUUCCGCCGCUCCAACAUCGUCCCCAACAUCGUCUCCUACAACACCCUCAUCCUCGCGCACUGCGAGGCCUGCCGCGUCGACACCGCGAUGCAGGUGUACCACGACAUGCUCGCGUCUGCGCCCUUCUCCCCCUCUGCCGUCACCUACCGCCACCUCACCAAGGGUCUUGUCGCUGCCGGCCGCAUCCGUGACGCGCUCGAUCUCCUCCGAGAGAUGCUCUCCCGCAACGCUGGCGCCGACUCCCUCGUCUACAACAACCUCAUCGCUGGAUACAUCGACCUCGGCGACUGGGACAAGGCCUUCGAGCUCUUCAACGAGCUCGCAGAGAGGUGCCUUGUCUACGACGGUGUCGUCCACACCACCUUCAUGGAGGGCUACUGGAAACAGGGCAAGGACAAGGAGGCCAUGGACAACUACCAGUCCCUUCUUGAUCGGGGCUUUAAGAUGACGCCAGCCACCUGCAACGUCCUGCUUGAGACACUCUUCAAGCACGGCAAGCACAAGGAGGCCAACGAACUAUGGGAAACCAUGAUCGACAACCACAGCCCGCCAAGCUUCAUCGGCAUCAACGCCGAGUCCUACAACGUCAUGGUUAACCAGUGCUUCAGGGAGGGCAAGUUCAAGGAGGCGAUUGAGGUCUUCCACCGCCAGCCGAGGAAGAACGUCCAGAUGGACGUUGGUUGCUUCAACAACAUCAUUGGCAAGCUCUGUGAGAAUGGGAUGCUAGCUGAGGCAGAAAAGCUCUUUGAGGAAAUGGAGACGAAGUCUGUCCUUCCAGAUGUGUACACCUACACUUACCUUGUUGACUCGUGCUUCAAGGAAGGCCGUGUGGAAGAUACAAUGCAGUAUUUCUACAAAAUGGCAGAUGGGAGGGAGCAUGGGCCAAAGUUCAAUAUUGGUUUCUUCAACCGCAUGUUUGAAGGACUUACAGAAGCUGGCCAGAUUGAUGAUGCCUUGAAGGUGUAUGGGAGGAUGCCUGACAAGGAGAUCAAGCCAAACACGAUCACUUUUGAAAUCCUUGUCAAAGCCUUAUGCAAAGAAGGGAACUUGGAUCAAGCGAGGGACCUAGUGAUGGACAUGGCAAGGAAUGGUAUUGUGCCUCCUCCAGAGUUCCGUGAGUCUGUUGUUGACUUUUUCAAGAAGGCUGAUCGACAGGAAGAAAUUGAGAAAGCUUUUGAAGAAAAACCUAUGCCAACACCUCAGCCAAGGACAGAGUAUCAGUUGAGGAAUGAGUAUCGCUCUCGCAAUGCAGUUGGUGCUGGUCAAGCAAAACAACCUGGCUUUAGCUCUACUCCAGCGGUGGAGCCUGGAUUUGUUUACUCUCAGCCACGACAGUCAACGUUUAGUAACAAUCAGAAUCAGCAGCCUGAGUUUGGCUCAUCUCAUUCAUGGAGUCCAGGUUUUGGUGCUCCUCAAGCACAUGGAUAUGGUGCAUCUCAGCCUGUACAAGCUGUAGUUGGUUCGUCUUACUCUCAACCACAACAGUCAAAAUUUAGUAACAAUCAAAAUCAGCGGCCUGAGUUUGGCUCAUCUCAUUCAUAUAAUUCAGACUUUGGUGCUCCUCAAGCACAGGCUGGAUAUGGUGCACCUCAGCCUGUACAGGCUGUAGCUGGUUCGUCAUACUCUCAACCACAACAGUCAACAUUUAGUAACAAUCAAAAUCAGCGGCCUGAGUUUGGCUCAUCUCAUUCUUAUAAUUCCGACUUCGGUGCUCCUCAAGCACAGCCUGGAUAUGGUGCACCUCAGCCUGUACAGGCUGUAGCUGGUUCGUCUCAGCUACGACAGUCACAGUUUGGUGCUUCUCAGGGUGUACCAGCAUAUAGUAACAUAGGAAAUCAGCAUGGUCAGUUUGGCUCUCCACAUGGAGAAUCAAAAUUUAGCAACCAUCCACCACAAGUUGGGUAUGGUGCCCAGUUGCCUCAGUCAGGGUAUCGCUUUGAGCCCCAACAAGAACAGGCCGGAUUUGGGAAUCGAGGAGCGCUGCCUGCAUAUGUGGCUUCAAGCCAACCCUCAUAUGGUACCCGCUGGAGCUCAAGUGGUUAUGGAUCAACCCAGGGGCAACUGGGAUACAGUGGCCCUCAAGCGCAGUCACAUGAAUCUCAGUUACCACAUCACCAGGCAAGUUUUGGCAUGCCACAUGUCCAACAUAACAAUGACUUCUAUAAAUACAACCCUGGAUACAGGCCAUCUAAUGGUCUGCAGGGAUUUGAUGCUACCCAUGGUGAUUCUGAAACUGCUUCAUCUAAAGACCAUCAAGAGACUACCCCUCCUGAAGAUGGGCAACAAGUAGCAUUUAUGAAAGCAUGAGGACUGCAUACAUAUUUUGGCUUCAAGACAAAAAGGAUUUUCAGACAUAAAAUGAAUUAGUCUCUUUAGAUAUGAUGAAGAUUUUAAUGGAUAGAUGUGAAUCAGGCUCCCAUGUUGUUCCCAUAGUCCUCACUGCUGUACCGUUUAACUGAAUUCAUCUGAUGUUUCUCAGGAUUAAGGAACACUUUUUACUGUUUGUUUAAAUUCGAACUUUUAGUCAGCAUGCUUGGUGCAUUUGGAAGUAUAUGGUAUUGCUAAUCUAUUUUUUAUUUACAGGUAUUGAUCUAUGUAGGAUUCUAAUUUUUAUUUAAAUAUAUUGACAAUCUAUCGGUUCUUACAAAGACUCGUCCUUCAAUUUGUGUACAGCAGAAUUGAUAUGUUUGUAUCGAAGUAAAGAUGGGUAUCUAGAUUUAUUUUUUGAUGUUGUGGCAACUAUAACUAGAUGUCCCAAAUAACAGGUUGAUUUUGUUGCAAUGGAUGUUUUCUUUUGAUCGAAAUUGAGAUGGAGACCAAGAUGUGUUCUUUUGAUGCUGCAGUAGCCUGGAGAUGGAGACCAAGAUGUGUAUUUUCGAUGCUCCAGUAGCCUGUCGUUUCAUGAUGAACAAGCAAUUUAGUUUGUUUAAGUCAUUUCCUUUCGUGUUGCAGUAAGUGUCCUCUAGAUGUUUCAUAAGAUGCUUCCAUAAUUUGCAACAAUUGUGUUUCAUUGUUGUAAGGUGCUAGAUUGCCGAUCUCCUGAACUCUGAAGGGUCUGAUUGGGACCAUAUUCGCUUGUUUAGUCGGGCCGAUGCCGAGGCUAUUCCAUGAUCAGAUUUACUGCAAGAAGAGCUGAGGAUUUUAUUGCCUGGCAGCCAGAAAAAUCAGGCUUGAUCAGGCUAACUGCAAGAAGUCGCUUGGGCCUUGUUUAGUUCCGAAAAGUGAAAAGUUUUCGGUACUGUAGCACUUUCGUUUGUUUGUGACAAAUAUUAUCCAAUCAUGGACUAACUAGGAUCAAAAGAUUCGUCUCGUGAUUUACAGCUAAACUGUGUAAUUAGUUUUUGUUUUCGUCUAUAUUUAAUGUUUCAUGCAUGUGCCACGAGAUUUGAUGUGACGAGGAAUCUUGAAAACUUUUUGAUUUUCAGGGUGAACUAAACAAGGCCUUGUCUUAUCAGCCGCACGUUUUCUGUCAGCCAACAGUGUUUUUCUCUCACGAUAAAUCAGCGAAUAGUAUUUUCAGCCAUGACUUUUUAGACCAGCGUGACUGAAAAUACUAUUCGUUGAUUUAUCAUAAGAGAAAAAUAUUGUUGGCUGGCAGAAAAAGUGCGGCUGAUAAGACAAGCGACUUCUUGCAGUUAGCCUGAUCCCUAAACCCAGGCAAGGUCCCUAAACCCUGUCAGGAAAAUCUAAGAUGUUCUCCGUUCGCAGCACGUACAUAUUAUUCCACUAAUGGAGCAAACCAGGGCGGAAAGUGCUGCCUUGAGUUCACGACCGGAUGGAGAUAGGAAGCUCUGGAACAACAUUUGGAAUUGCCAGGUUCCCCCAAAAUCAAGAUAUUUAGACCUUGUUUAAUUCGCGAAAAGAAAAAUGUUAUUGGGAGACUGUAGCACCUGUAUAACUAUAGCAAUUAAUGUCUAAUCAUGGAUUAAUUAAACUUAAAAGAUUUGUCUUGUAAAAUAUAUGUAAACUGUACAAUUAGUUGUUUUUUUUAUCUAUAUUUAAUGCUCUAUGUAUAUGUUUAAAUAUUUGAUGGGAUGAAAUGAAAAAUUUUUGAAUGUAAACUAAACAAGACCUCACAUGGAAGUCAAGAUAUUCAGAAGAAGAUUAGAAGUGACACAACACUGUGACCUGUGCAGGGAAGAAAGUGAGGGUCUGUUUAGUUCCCUAUGGAAUACAAAUGGCUAAUUACUUUGGAAUGAUAAAAUAUAAAAUGUUAAAUUUUUUAGAGUUAUGUUUAAUUCUAUAUAAGAGCAAAAUUUAUUUCCUUUAUUAUGGUCUCUUGACGCUUUUUGGGCUUUUUUUACCUCUUUGAGGCUAAAAUCUAAAAUAGAGAAUGACACAACCAAUUUACCCAAAAAAAAUCAUAUAAUGUUUAGUUCCAUUAUACAAAAUGGUAUACCAAAAUCUAGAAUUUUUUGGUAUGAAAAGGGAACAAAACACCCCCAUUCAGCCGCCACGUAGAGCGCGAGUCGGCUUGCCAUGCGACAACACUAGAUAUUGCCAACUUGCCGUUCGAUGAACGAUUUAAGGGGGUGUUUAAUUCUUUUUUCAUCUAAAAAGCUGAUCCAUCAUUUUGUAUAAUGAAACUAAACAUCAUGCAAAAAAUUGGCAAAAUAGUUGUCAUUUUUUAUUUUGGAUUUUGUCUUUAAGAUGGCAAAAAAAAGUCCCAAAUAACCACAAGAGACCAUAAUAAGGACAAUAAUUUCUGUAUUUUAGAUGAAUAUAAUCUUAAAAAAUUUGGCAUUUUGUAUUUCAUUAUUCCAAAGUAGGGCUUAUUUAGUUCCUCAUGGAAUGCAAAAUAUAAAAUAUCAACUACUGUUACGAGUGCUCUAAGCAUAGCUUCACUAGUAUUUUUAUGUGAAAACCAUUUCUAUAGAAAUCCUACUAGGGGUUGUUUAGUUCCCCAUAGAAUCCAAAAUGCAAAAUGCCAACAACUUUGGAGUGAUGAAAUACAAAAAAAAAAUUAGGGUCAUGUUUAAUUCCAUCCAAAAUGUAGAAUUUAUUGUCCUCAUGAGAGCCUUCUGAGACUAUUUUUGAGUUUUUUUUGGCCUCUUGAGGCUAAAAUCCAAAAUGGAGCAUAAUCACCUUUUUGCCAAAAUUUUUGUACGAUGUUUAGUUUCAUUUGGCAAAAUGAUGGAUCAAAACUCAAAAAAAAAAUUUAAAAAGGAGAACUAAACACCCCUAAAUUGGGCCUUAUCGGUCCGGAAGUUCGGAGGUAGCAAAACAGUCCUGGGACCGAGGCCGCGUAACUUGGUCCAACGCACACAGCACGUGUGGGCAAGCUAACCCUUGGCGUGCGACGUCGGCCUGCUAGCCGCAAGCCCACGAGCUCCCCGUACCCAUCUCCAGUCCAUCUCUCCGCGCCUCCUCCAAUCCUCUCUUUUCCAUCCACGCCGCUACGCCCCCCGAUCCAACCCUAACCCCCCUCCGCCUCCUCGCCGGCGCGUCUACCCCGCCUCCACUCCGCGGCUAGUGCUUCUCAUCGGCGUCCCUCCGGUGCGUGCCCCUCGUCGUCCCUCUCACCUUUACACGCCUCCUUCCACUUUUUGCGCGUUAAUUUCACCGUCCGCUCUCUGUCUCUUCGCCUUAGGGCUUCACGCUGGUCCGGGGUGCGGCUCCUGCGAUUCGCGCGCAAUGGAGCAAGAUCAGAGCGCAGCUGUCGGCAGUGCGGACUCUGGUGCCGCGGCUUUUGAUUUUCCGACUGCCAAUCCACCUAGCUCGGCUGUGACCGGCGGAAGCGCCGUGGCCCCCGACGGUGGAGCUCAGGCAGCUGAUGCCUCUGCCUACCAGGCCGAACACGCGGCGUUGAAUGGGACGGCUGGCGAUAUGGCUAAUUACCAAACAGGAGCUGCAGAGAACGGCGAAGCCGUCACCAACGAGAUGGGCGAGCCGGUUCCUGAGCCAUCCUACGAGGAAGGUA